RNAcentral lists this ribosomal RNA (295 nucleotides) under uncultured bacterium. RNAcentral's name for it is "partial 16S ribosomal RNA". It matches the Rfam family "Bacterial small subunit ribosomal RNA", at positions 28 to 334 of the family's 1533-position model. The record is from RNAcentral.
GAUGAACGCUGGCGGCGUGCCUAACACAUGCAAGUCGAGCGAACCCUUCAGGGUGAGCGGCGGACGGGUGAGUAACGCGUGGGUAACCUGCCCUGUACACACGGAUAACAUACCGAAAGGUAUGCUAAUACGAGAUAAUAUAUUUUAAUCGCAUGGUUAAGAUAUCAAAGCUCCGGCGGUACAGGAUGGACCCGCGUCUGAUUAGCUAGUUGGUGAGGUAAUGGCUCACCAAGGCGACGAUCAGUAGCCGACCUGAGAGGGUGAUCGGCCACACUGGAACUGAGACACGGUCCAG